Small nuclear RNA from Mauremys mutica (yellowpond turtle), 103 nucleotides. The record is from RefSeq and is a predicted model, not a curated record. Lineage: Eukaryota; Metazoa; Chordata; Testudines; Geoemydidae.
GGUAAUUUCCUUUGUUCCUUGCUUUCUUUGGCAGGACAUUGGAAGAUUAGCAUGGCCCCUGUGCAAUGAUGACACACAAAUUCAUGAAGCGUUUCCAUAUUUU